GUGCUCACUUCGAGGGCACGUGUACUGAAACUGGAAAGAGACAAAGAUUAGCAUGCCCCCUGAGCAAGGAUGACAUGUAGAUUCCUGAAGUAUUCCACAUUUAA
This is a non-coding RNA of Myotis brandtii (Brandt's bat), 104 nucleotides long. The record is from Rfam. NCBI's taxonomy places the organism in Eukaryota, Metazoa, Chordata, Mammalia, Chiroptera, Vespertilionidae.